RNAcentral lists this small RNA (78 nucleotides) under Veronia pacifica. RNAcentral's name for it is "Enterovibrio sp. sw014 isrK Hfq binding RNA". It matches the Rfam family "isrK Hfq binding RNA". Lineage: Bacteria; Pseudomonadati; Pseudomonadota; Gammaproteobacteria; Vibrionales; Vibrionaceae. The record is from Rfam by way of RNAcentral.
GCACUGGCAAAAUCCGGUGCCGGGGUUGGUCUCCCGCAAACAACAGGCGUAUAUACGCCAGCUUUCUGCUGGUUUUUU